Molecule: ribosomal RNA, 207 nt
Filed under: uncultured bacterium
Lineage: Bacteria
Description: partial 16S ribosomal RNA
Rfam family: Bacterial small subunit ribosomal RNA
Source: RNAcentral
CUCGUAGGCGGUUCGUCGCGUCCGGUGUGAAAGUCCAUCGCUUAACGGUGGAUCCGCGCCGGGUACGGGCGGGCUGGAGUGCGGUAGGGGAGACUGGAAUUCCCGGUGUAACGGUGGAAUGUGUAGAUAUCGGGAAGAACACCAAUGGCGAAGGCAGGUCUCUGGGCCGUUACUGACGCUGAGGAGCGAAAGCGUAGGGAGCGAACA